Vicugna pacos (alpaca) is the source of this 1567-nucleotide non-coding RNA. The record is from RefSeq and is a predicted model, not a curated record. NCBI's taxonomy places the organism in Eukaryota, Metazoa, Chordata, Mammalia, Artiodactyla, Camelidae.
CAGAGAUGUGCUGAUCACAUUCAAAAAUGCUACGAAUCUGGGACAACGAGUCUGAUGAAUGAGGAAAUAUUUUUGGCGGAGCGUGACAAGAUGAAUCGUACAUGGAUCAGACCACAUCUCCAAAAACCAGAAGGACUAGAAAUAGAAGAUGUGAAUUUAUAACAGCAUGUGUGGAAAAGACAGAACUCAGCUGACCUUGCGCUCACUGUGCUGUAACUCUCCAUGUCCUGCCAAUCUUUCCAGUGAUGUUGACCAUUGACGAACUCUGGGGAACUUCUACAGAUCUGAUUAAAUGAACUGCCACCACCUCCCCAGGGCCUGCAAUACCAUCUGGAGUGGGGAGAGACAGAAGCUUUCACAGUACCAGCUUUCAGUCGAUGGGCGGCCCCCGGGCCUGCCUCAGUGGAUCUGAAAAGGUCAGAGGUCGUGGUCAUGGGGUCAUUGGUGCGGGCCGCUAACUGAGGGUUUGACAUUUGUCGUGCGGUCAUGUUUUUCCUGCCACUGGGUGUGUACACAUCUCCAACCUGACUCCACACAGGGAGUCCACUCCAGGGGAAGUUGUGUGGGGUGUAGGAAAACUUCCAGAACCCAAGGGGCCUGGUCAUGAAGGCUCUCCUGGUAAGCGUGAAUGGCGGCAUAAGGGGGCCAGGGUUAGGGUGAGGAGAGUGGGGCGCUCACCUAGAGCACGGAAUUGGAGGAAAUGUCGCAAGUGCAGAAGUCACCACAAACACUAUUUUACUGCAGUGUUUAAAAGGUCGAAAUUAAUGCAACAAAUUCCAGGCGAGCAAAAUAUCAACAUUUUAAAUAAAGUCAAGAUAACCCUUCAUCGAUGCAGCCCUGCCCCACACGCCUGCCCCUAACUCCCCACCGGCCCUUGCAGGGUGGGCUGCCUGAUUCACUGCCCUGCGGUAAGAAGUCGGUGGUUCUUGUCAAAGACUCCUCUCCAGGGCAGCCCAGCAGUGGAGACAGUUGAAGCCAGCUCCCUUCCGUGGACUUGAGUGGGUGAGUAUUUGGGACAAACGUGAAUUUUAAUGUGUUCAUGUUCUGGAAAGCACGGCCCCCCACUUUUGUCCUUUGAGAUGAUAUAACGUGUCACCCACUCAUUUCUGGUCAGGUAGCCCAAAGCGGAGGAAGGUCUGUCUUGCUUAAGAAUUGAAGUAAAGGGAGUCAGUUUGUUCUGUGUUUGUUUGUUUGUUUCCCAGAUGCUCCAGGUAUUUCAAACCUCUGGUUGGGCAGCAGACUUCCCAUGACCUUCCUGGCUGAUAGGGAAAUGGGCUGUAAACUCACCUGUUAACAGGGCCCUCUAUGUCCUGACCGCCCCCCCCCCCCACCUCCCAGCACUCUUAGGAAGCUACCCCACCCGUCUGUCUGUUCCUGGAACGCGCCUCACUUUCACGACUGAGAGCACCUUUGUCCCUGCAGUACCCCCACCUGGGAGGCUAACUCUUUCUCCGGCUCAUGGCUCAUCUUAAAAUGUCACCUCCUCAGAGCUGGCUUCCAGGAACACCCCAGCAAUAAAGGUCCCUCUGAUGAUUCCUGCAUGCAGUGCCGUGUUGAUUUCCUCAGU